CACUGGGUCAUCAAUUAAUCCCUACUGAGAUAGAGGAAGUUGUCAAACCUGCUUUUCUGCCACUCAGGCUCCAUGCUUUGGCCAUCACAAAACUGACCCUAAGAGAACUUGUCUGAAACUGCCAAGCUGGAAGUGCAGCAUUGAUUGGAUUGCACUCCCAAAGCCUGUCAGCAAUCACGAGCAGCACUUGCUGGACAACCUGCAGCACUUGACUCAGCACUCACUGGACAAUGGUAGCAGCCACUGUCCAGAUUAAAGCACACCCAAAUUACAGCCAUUUUCUGUCUGCAGAUCGAGAGUCACAGGACUGUCUUUUCCAUGACACCACUUUAGGCCCCUGCUGCUCCUUGCAGCAGGACACAAUUUUCCCCUUGCAGUUUAGAGAGACACUAGAAAAGUCUGCUGCUGAGAGGAAAUUAAAACUGCAGUAGCCAUUAAGAUGGGAAAAAGAUGUUCAUUCCAGGAGAUAAAUAUGGCAAUGCUUAUUCUGCUGCCUUCUACACAAGAUUCAUUUAGGCAAGCAGGCCUAUCUGCCCAACUUUAUUCACCACCCUCGGGAGGUAUUCCUGCUGCCUUGGAUUUACAAUGCCAGAGGGUAACUUCUGUGAAGAGACUAACAUCCCUGCAGAUAAAGGAAAGAAAGGAGUUCUCCUGCAGAGUAGUUCAGAGCAGGACCUGUAGCCAGGCCCUGAGUAGCACUUCUGAUAAAACUCUUUAUCUCCACUGAGGAACCACAGAGAGGAGAAUGGAGAAAAUUAUGUCCCUUAAACCGAGCUAUUUCAGUAUCUUAUGGAAGGUUUCAGGGUUCAAAGCUUUUUCUGAUUUUUUAUACUUGAAUUCAAUCAAACCCAGUCGAUUUGCAUAAAAAGCCCAUUUGAAAAUAACUAGCUAGAAGUGCCAAAUUGCCAGCCCAGGAGGAGAAGCAUUUUUUAUGAGCAGUGUGGAGUUCUCAUGACCAGAAGGAUACACUUUCAGUACCCUUCACAAUGCCUGGCACAGAAAGAC
Molecule: long non-coding RNA, 1005 nt
Filed under: Cyanistes caeruleus (blue tit)
Lineage: Eukaryota; Metazoa; Chordata; Aves; Passeriformes; Paridae
Description: lncRNA (ENSCCEG00000019726.1)
Source: RNAcentral